UACGAAGGGGGCUAGCGUUGCUCGGAAUUACUGGGCGUAAAGCGCACGUAGGCGGCUCUUUAAGUCGGAGGUGAAAUCCUGGAGCUCAACUCCAGAACUGCCUUCGAUACUGAAGAGCUCGAGUCCGGGAGAGGUGAGUGGAACUGCGAGUGUAGAGGUGAAAUUCGUAGAUAUUCGCAAGAACACCAGUGGCGAAGGCGGCUCACUGGCCCGGUACUCGACGCUGAGGUGCGGAAAGCGUGGGGAGCAAACAGGG
This 256-nucleotide ribosomal RNA is filed under the name uncultured bacterium. Its description in RNAcentral is "partial 16S ribosomal RNA". It matches the Rfam family "Bacterial small subunit ribosomal RNA", at positions 524 to 777 of the family's 1533-position model. The record is from RNAcentral.